UUAGAAUUCAAACCACUUGAGACCUUAGAGGGAACUCAAAGAAACACUAUGAUGCCAAGGUAGAACUUGAAAUGCCUUUGAUGGACUGUCCAUUUAAGCACGUUUGCAUCUUUGCACUCAAUUACAAAGUGGAUCCACAUCCAUAAUAUUUCCCCUUAAAAAAUAAAAAUGCCAGCAGCUAAAACAGGUUAAGAAUUCAAGCCAAUUGACACCCUAGAGCGCACUCAAAGAAACACUAUGAUGCCAAGGUAGAACUUUAAAUGCCUUUGAUGGACUUUGUCCAUUUAAGCACGUUUGCAUCUUUGCACUCAAUUACAAAGUGGAUCCAAAUCCGUAAUAUUUCGC
Carassius gibelio (silver crucian carp) is the source of this 345-nucleotide long non-coding RNA. RefSeq lists it as uncharacterized. Lineage: Eukaryota; Metazoa; Chordata; Actinopteri; Cypriniformes; Cyprinidae. The transcript is spliced from 3 exons. The record is from RefSeq and is a predicted model, not a curated record.